This 686-nucleotide ribosomal RNA is filed under the name Exophiala sp. 4-11m. RNAcentral's name for it is "eukaryotic LSU rRNA". The stretch from base 241 to 395 matches the Rfam family "5.8S ribosomal RNA". The record is from RNAcentral. Lineage: Eukaryota; Fungi; Ascomycota; Eurotiomycetes; Chaetothyriales; Herpotrichiellaceae.
UGUCCGGCUCGCCCGGCGCCCGACCUCCCAACCCUGUGUCUACCCAACCGACCCAUGUUGCUUCGGCGGACCGGCCUCCUGUCCCCCCCUCUCUUGUGGGGGACGGCGGCCGCCGGGACCGUCACACGUCCUGGAGCGUCGUCCGCCGACGGCCCAACCGAACACAUUCUUGUCGUAACCUGUCGUCUGACCACACACGUACACGUCGGUGUACCACGUAAACUAAAAAUUUACAAGCAAAACUUUCAACAACGGAUCUCUUGGUUCUGGCAUCGAUGAAGAACGCAGCGAAAUGCGAUAAGUAAUGCGAAUUGCAGAAUUUCCGUGAGUCAUCGAAUCUUUGAACGCACAUUGCGCCCUUUGGUAUUCCGAAGGGCAUGCCUGUUCGAGCGUCAUUAUCCCCCCUCAAACCCCGGGUUUGGUGUUGGACCAAGUCCCCACGAGCGGCCCCGAUCGGGGUCGUGGACGGGACCGGUCUCAAAGGCAAUGACGGCGUCCGCGGGACCCCCGGUACAACGAGCUUGCUGUUCCGCAGCACGAGCACGUACCGUCGGUGUCGCGCGGACCCCGGUCGACCGGGCGGUCGCCCCUCUGCGGGGUGGCCACCCACUGUUUUUUCACAGGUUGACCUCGGAUCAGGUAGGAAUACCCGCUGAACUUAAGCAUAUCAAUAAGGCGGAGGAAAG